ACCCGGUUGGCUCAAUCGGUAGAGCAUCAGACUCUUAAUCUGAGGUUGCGGGUUCGAGUCCCGCACUGGGUA
This is a non-coding RNA of Bactrocera neohumeralis, 72 nucleotides long. The record is from the annotation of a RefSeq genome assembly. Lineage: Eukaryota; Metazoa; Arthropoda; Insecta; Diptera; Tephritidae.